UACGAAGGGGGCUAGCGUUGCUCGGAAUUACUGGGCGUAAAGCGCGCGCAGGCGGUCCUUUAAGUCGGGGGUGAAAGCCCAGAGCUCAACUCUGGAACUGCCUUCGAAACUAGAGGACUUGGGUACGAGAGAGGUGAGUGGAAUUCCGAGUGUAGAGGUGAAAUUCGUAGAUAUUCGGAAGAACACCAGUGGCGGAGGCGGCGCACUGGCCCGUUACCGACGCUCAGGCGCGACAGCGUGGGGAGCAAACAGG
This 253-nucleotide ribosomal RNA is filed under the name uncultured bacterium. RNAcentral describes it as "partial 16S ribosomal RNA". It matches the Rfam family "Bacterial small subunit ribosomal RNA", at positions 524 to 776 of the family's 1533-position model. The record is from RNAcentral.